Molecule: ribosomal RNA, 442 nt
Filed under: uncultured bacterium
Lineage: Bacteria
Description: partial 16S ribosomal RNA
Rfam family: Bacterial small subunit ribosomal RNA
Source: RNAcentral
CCUACGGGAGGCAGCAGUGGGGAAUAUUGGGCAAUGGGCGCAAGCCUGACCCAGCAACGCCGCGUGAAGGAAGAAGGCCCUCGGGUUGUAAACUUCUUUUAUUCGGGACGAAACAAAUGACGGUACCGAAUGAAUAAGCCACGGCUAACUACGUGCCAGCAGCCGCGGUAAUACGUAGGUGGCAAGCGUUAUUCGGAUUUACUGGGUGUAAAGGGCGUGUAGGCGGUAGAGCAAGUCAGACGUGAAAUUCCAGGGCUAAACCGUGGAACUGAGAUUGAAACUGGUCAUCUUGGGUGAUGAGGGGGAGGCGGAAUUCCGUGUGUAGCAGUGAAAUGCGUAGAUAUACGGAGGAACACCAGUGGCGAAGGCGGCCUGCUGGACAUUAACUGACGCUGAGGCGCGAAGGCGUGGGGAGCAAACAGGAUUAGAUACCCGAGUAGUC